GACGAACGCUGGCGGCGUGCUUAACACAUGCAAGUCGAACGGAAAGGCCCUGCUUUUGUGGGGUGCUCGAGUGGCGAACGGGUGAGUAACACGUGAGUAACCUGCCCUUGACUUUGGGAUAACUUCAGGAAACUAGGGCUAAUACCGGAUAGGAGCUCCUGCUGCAUGGUGGGGGUUGGAAAGUUUCGGCGGUUGGGGAUGGACUCGCGGCUUAUCAGCUUGUUGGUGGGGUAGUGGCUUACCAAGGCUUUGACGGGUAGCCGGCCUGAGAGGGUGACCGGCCACCUUGGGACUGAGAUACGGCCCAGACUCCUACGGGAGGCAGCAGUGGGGAAUAUUGCACAAUGGGCGGAAGCCUGAUGCAGCAACGCCGCGUGCGGGAUGACGGCCUUCGGGUUGUAAACCGCUUUCGCCUGUGACGAAGCGUGAGUGACGGUAAUGGGUAAAGAAGCACCGGCUAACUACGUG
RNAcentral lists this ribosomal RNA (468 nucleotides) under uncultured bacterium. RNAcentral's name for it is "partial 16S ribosomal RNA". It matches the Rfam family "Bacterial small subunit ribosomal RNA", at positions 28 to 507 of the family's 1533-position model. The record is from RNAcentral.